This 483-nucleotide ribosomal RNA is filed under the name uncultured Sphingomonas sp. RNAcentral describes it as "bacterial SSU rRNA". It matches the Rfam family "Bacterial small subunit ribosomal RNA", at positions 1 to 531 of the family's 1533-position model. Lineage: Bacteria; Pseudomonadati; Pseudomonadota; Alphaproteobacteria; Sphingomonadales; Sphingomonadaceae. The record is from RNAcentral.
GCCCUUAGAGUUUGAUCCUGGCUCAGAACGAACGCUGGCGGCAUGCCUAACACAUGCAAGUCGAACGAUGCCUUCGGGCAUAGUGGCGCACGGGUGCGUAACGCGUGGGAAUCUGCCUCUUGCUUCGGAAUAACAGUUAGAAAUGACUGCUAAUACCGGAUGAUGUCUUCGGACCAAAGAUUUAUCGGCAAGAGAUGAGCCCGCGUAGGAUUAGGUAGUUGGUGGGGUAAAGGCCUACCAAGCCGACGAUCCUUAGCUGGUCUGAGAGGAUGAUCAGCCACACUGGGACUGAGACACGGCCCAGACUCCUACGGGAGGCAGCAGUGGGGAAUAUUGGACAAUGGGGGAAACCCUGAUCCAGCAAUGCCGCGUGAGUGAUGAAGGCCUUAGGGUUGUAAAGCUCUUUUACCAGGGAUGAUAAUGACAGUACCUGGAGAAUAAGCUCCGGCUAACUCCGUGCCAGCAGCCGCGGUAAUAAGGGCG